Long non-coding RNA from Dioscorea cayenensis subsp. rotundata (Guinea yam), 325 nucleotides. RefSeq lists it as uncharacterized. NCBI's taxonomy places the organism in Eukaryota, Viridiplantae, Streptophyta, Magnoliopsida, Dioscoreales, Dioscoreaceae. The transcript is spliced from 2 exons. The record is from RefSeq and is a predicted model, not a curated record.
UCGCUUCUUCUAUUUUUGCUUCCUUUUGCAGGCCAUCCGGCAUUGAUUGCUCGUCAUCGGCCAUUUCCUGUCACACAUGAAGCAGCAGAGAGGUGGUUACACCACAUGCACCAAGCAUUAGAUAGCACCCAGAAUAUUGGCCCUGAAUCAAAAACCAAGAUGAUGAACUUCUUCAGGCACACUGCAUUCUUUCUCGUAGCUGGAAAUGAGAUGACCAAGCAAGCGCAACCUCCCUGUAAACAUGCGGCAAGUAAAUCAGCUGCAGUUUCAGAUGAUUGAUUAUUGAAAUUUGGAAUUUAUAAUUAAAGUUCAUAUUCAUGAUUUA